CGCAGCCAACGCGUCCUCCCAAUAAUUUAUACUCGUCUCUAACGCCUCCAUACCUAUGACAGGAUAUAUAGUAAGAGAACAUCCAGAGUUAAUAAGACUUUUAUUAUUAGGAAGACUAAGAUCUCAAGAGUAUUCGCUAGAUAUUGAUCGCAACAGGAUCAGACGUUUCGCACCGUUAAGUUUGAUGUUGAAAUAAGAACUUAGCUUGCCUUACAAUAAAGCACAAAUUAAAAAUAUUUUUGAAUAAUAAGUUGUCAAUAUUAACAGGGUAAUAAAACAAAAUACAGAUUCAUAUUAAGUAAA
Long non-coding RNA from Danaus plexippus (monarch butterfly), 303 nucleotides. RefSeq lists it as uncharacterized. Lineage: Eukaryota; Metazoa; Arthropoda; Insecta; Lepidoptera; Nymphalidae. The record is from RefSeq and is a predicted model, not a curated record. The transcript has 2 exons.